CUGAAGAUGAAAGGGGGCCUUUGAGACUGCAUUCGUGCGUGCUCGGGUCACCGGCUCUUCCAUCCACACACACCUUUGUGCACCUCGGGGAGAUGAUUGUCUCCCCACAUCACAUAAACACCUAGUUUACAUGCAUGUUUUCAUAUACUCUAUGGAGUUAAUGUA
Molecule: unclassified non-coding RNA, 165 nt
Filed under: uncultured Agaricomycetes
Lineage: Eukaryota; Fungi; Basidiomycota; Agaricomycetes
Description: sequence contains ITS1
Source: RNAcentral